Molecule: long non-coding RNA, 1777 nt
Organism: Saccostrea cuccullata (small rock oyster)
Lineage: Eukaryota; Metazoa; Mollusca; Bivalvia; Ostreida; Ostreidae
Exons: 5
Source: RefSeq, a predicted model, not a curated record
UGUCUUAUUUGUCGCGAAUAAUUCGUUUCAUUUUAUUAUGGAAAUUUAUCCGUCCCAACACUUGCAGAAAUAUAGUUAAUCUGACUUCAAAAUUCCUUCCUCUGUUCCCCCAAGUACAUGUAACACUCUUCGCUCUCAUUUUUUUUUUUAAUUUUCAUUGUAUAUUUUUUGUAGAAAAAAGGAAUGUGGAGCUAAUGCAUGCUGCUAAGGAUGGAAAGGUCUUGUGUUUAUUGGUGGUGCCUGAGACACCAGUCACAGUUGUACCUUAUUUCCAUUUUAGGGAGUCUAUAUACAUAUGAGGUGAGCGGCAGAUUUAAUUUUGAAGAUGGGUGACUUUCAGAUGUUGUGAUGAAGAUUGUUGAAAGGGAUUAUCAACAUAGAACCAAUCCAUAUGAAUGUGCAAGUCAGGUGAGGAUUGGACUUCAACGUGUAAUCAAGAAAUGUUUAUACAUAAUGAUUAUGUGCAAUGGUGACUGCAAGAAAAAAGGAAUGUGGAGCUAAUGCAUGCUGCUAAGGAUGGAAAGGUCUUGUGUUUAUUGGUUGUGCCUGAGACACCAGUCACAGUUGUACCUUAUUUCCAUUUUAGGGAGUCUAUAUACAUAUGAGGUGAACGGCAGAUUUAAUUUUGAAGAUGGGUGACUUUCAGAUGUUGUGAUGAAGAUUGUUGAAAGGGAUUAUCAGCAUAGAACCAAUCCAUAUGAAUGUGCAAGUCAGGACUUGUACAACACCUGAGUACCUAGAUGACUGUUGAACUAAUUGGUGAACAAGAAAAGAUGUCAGAGAGGGGAAUCCAAUACAGAUGCCAUGAUCAAGAAUAUAUACUCUUAACAAUGAUAUGAUCAAGAAUAUGUAAACUUGUAACGAUUUAAAAUAUCUUAUCUGUAAAUCACUCUUCAUUACUUAAUUGUUCACACAUUAUCAUCUACACUUGUGCUAUAAAUCUUAUCUGUAUAUUAAUCGCCCCCUCUUAUCUAACCCCCCUACUGAUCGUAAUGACCUGUGUAUUGACUCCUGAUUUUAAGGAUCUGGAAAUGUGCUCCUGAUCGUCAGGAACGGAUCUUGAGUAUAUAUAUAGUGCGACAGAAUUUUAGAAUAAGAUAGGAAGAUGGAAAUAUAGAAGACUUAGUAGAUAGAACUGUUAGAUAUAGAUAAAGUUACUCACUUACUUGGACUAUUACAUAAUAUUUCUUGAAUUUAUAUGUACAUGUGAUUGUUAGGGCCCCGCAAGGAUUUGCGGGUGCCCUAUAGUAAUCACUCUGUCUGUCUGUCUGUCCGUCUGUCUGUCCGUCUGUCAUUCUUCCGUCCACAAAUUUUCUGUUUUUUCCUAAUAACUUUUUUAUGGUAGCCAAAUUAAGUUCAAAUUUGGUAUGGUAGUUCAGUAGGCAAAAAGACAUAUUUUGAUGCUAUGUUUGUUUCUCUAUGCCCUCUGGUUUGGAGCAGGGGUGGUGGGGUAGAUUCCUUAACUUUAUACAAGAAUGAAUUGGGAAAGAGAGAUAACUUCUGAAAAUGUUGUAAACUGAAUACUGCAAUGAAUGAGCCCCUUGGGAUUAAUUAGCUUUCCUCCUGAAGAAAAUCCAAAGCAUUAUCUUUAUCUGUCACAUUGAGAUUAAUUACCACCUCUGUCUGCAAAUGAAGUUUGUUUUGAAGUUAAGUCCAUUUGGAAUGCUAUGAACACCAUGAAAUGUGGAUUGAAGUAUAAAUGUUUUUACUUUAUUUUUGUUGAAAUAGCCUACACGAUGAGUUCUAAUUUCAUUGACUUCUAAAAAGAAGAAAUAGA